Long non-coding RNA from Myxocyprinus asiaticus (Chinese sucker), 1627 nucleotides. RefSeq lists it as uncharacterized. The record is from RefSeq and is a predicted model, not a curated record. NCBI's taxonomy places the organism in Eukaryota, Metazoa, Chordata, Actinopteri, Cypriniformes, Catostomidae. The transcript is spliced from 6 exons.
UAUACGUAUUAAAAGGAUUCCCACACCCCUGGUUAAAAUGAUGGUGUUACAACUCUCCCUUAUAUAGUUUAUUAGUUCAUGUGCGGUGUGGUUAAAACUCGCUUUCUCUGCCUCGAGUUGUCUCAUCUCUCACUCCAGCUGCAGCACAGAGCACUGCACGCAUGCCUUGCAAGCCCAGUUUAUCCUGUAACCUGAAGACACAAGCUGCGUCUGAAAACUGGAAAAUUCUGCCUUCGGAGGCUGAACAAGGAUGGAUGAAGUACCAACAAUAUUCUAUCCGUUUGGCUCAAGAGACACUCAAGUAACUAUUGGUGAUACAAGCAACAAUCUUACCCUGUCCAGUCCAUUUACAUUCUUCGGGCGUACACACUGGCAAAUAUAUGUUAAUAAUAAUGGACUCCUUACAUUCAGCCAACCUAUAAAUGAAGCUGACCCUUACCCCUUACCGACCAAUGGGAGCGAAGAUUUAAUUGCUCCUCUCUGGACUGAUCUUGACGACUACGUUAGUGGUGUGUACUCAUAUAAUCAGUAUUCAACGGGAAGUGUGCUCACUUGGGCCACACAGGAUAUACAACAGCAUUUCCCUGAUCUGAGCUUCGUUGCGACUUGGGUAUUUGUUGCAAAUUGAGACUUGCAGACUUCAGGCACAACAAUAUAAUUGGACUUCAAGUGAGACUUACCUCAUUGUUAAACCUAACCGAGAAUGGAAACAUUCAAAUCAUUUUAGAUAAACUAAAACAGGAGCUGAUCAAACAUGGUCUUCCGAACACCACAGAGGUGAAGUUAAGAAGUCUUCAAAAGACAAAGCCGUAAUAUCAGUCUCAUAGGGAAAUAAAACAGAAACAUCUCAGACACCAAAUUCCCCAGCCAUUGAAGAUGUAAAAACUGAUAAAGAGAAAGGAGUGUUGCUCCUCAGAAAGUGUUAACCCUUUAAGUCUCUUUCUGUCUUUCACACACAUUUGGACAACGUGCAUACUACACAUCCACACACAAAUCAGCUCUGAGGUUCAAAAAACAAAUAUAAAUGUUCAUUUUAUAUUUAAACAUACAUUACAUAAUUACAUCAGUUAGUUCUGGUCCUCUAAUCUGAUUUGAUGAUAAACGUCCCACAAGUGCUGAUAUUUAGUAUCACAGCACUGUGAUGUUUCACAAUUUGUAUAACUCUGCUUAUCUGUGUUCAUGUCAUUCCAGACCAGAGUAUGUGAGUGGUGUCGGUAAAAGGAAGCGGGAAGUGGAGUUGUAUGAUUUUUGCUCAGAGCAGAGAUGGUGACAUCCAGAACACCGGCAUGUCUUAUCACAAUUGACGGCACGUUAUUAAAUAAGGCGCAAGUCCAAUCGAGACAUGAGUUCAUCCAUCAGAUCAUAAUUAACCGACAGUGGCUUUGAAUGCUUUUUAACUGAGUGCAGGCGCAACAUUUGUGUCGAGCGACUCACUCCCCCGUCACGAGCAACUCCGGUGGAAGACAGCGGCUGGAUCUUUGGAUGAUACAACUCAUUUCCCCAUCUCCUGCGUUGUGGAAACCAGAAAUCUGAUAUAGAGGGAAACCCCAUGUGACGAGGAGGGCGGGGCUGGGCCGUGACUACGCACACCUGGCCCCCAAUUGGGCUAAUCAGCCGAGGAGAGGGA